CCUUGAGCAGCAACGCCGCGUGAGUGAAGAAGGCCUUCGGGUCGUAAAGCUCUGUCAAGUGGGAAGAACCCUUCUGGAGUGAACAGCUCCGGGAGCUGACGGUACCACUGAAGGAAGCACCGGCUAACUCCGUGCCAGCAGCCGCGGUAAUACGGAGGGUGCAAGCGUUAUUCGGAAUUACUGGGCGUAAAGGGCGCGCAGGCGGCUUGUUAAGUCAGUUGUGAAAGCCCGGGGCUCAACCCCGGAAGUGCGACUGAAACUGGCGGGCUUGAGUAUGGGAGAGGGAAGUG
Molecule: ribosomal RNA, 290 nt
Filed under: uncultured Desulfosalina sp.
Lineage: Bacteria; Pseudomonadati; Thermodesulfobacteriota; Desulfobacteria; Desulfobacterales; Desulfosalsimonadaceae
Description: partial 16S ribosomal RNA
Rfam family: Bacterial small subunit ribosomal RNA
Source: RNAcentral